Molecule: ribosomal RNA, 253 nt
Filed under: uncultured bacterium
Lineage: Bacteria
Description: partial 16S ribosomal RNA
Rfam family: Bacterial small subunit ribosomal RNA
Source: RNAcentral
UACAGAGGUCCCAAGCGUUGUUCGGAUUUACUGGGCGUAAAGGGUGCGUAGGCGGUUGGAUAAGUGUGAAGUGAAAGCUCCAAGCUUAACUUGGAAAAUGCUUCAUAUACUAUCUGACUAGAGGGCCGGAGAGGAGAUUGGAAUUCUCGGUGUAGCAGUGAAAUGCGUAGAUAUCGAGAGGAACACCAGUGGCGAAAGCGAAUCUCUGGACGGCAUCUGACGCUGAGGCACGAAAGCCAAGGUAGCAAACGGG